AUCUUUAAAACUUUUUAGUCACCUUGUUUUCACUUUCUUCCACCCUUUCAACAUACGAGAAGGAGAGUCAGCCAAGGGAAGGUUGAUCUCAAGCCAAGAGAAAGAGAGAAGUCUAAGAAAUGUCUAAGAAAUUUUAUUUUAUUUUUUGUUCAAAUUUCAAGACACGAGAAGGAGAAUCGGUCAGAGAAAGAUUGAUCCUAAGCCAAGAGAAGGAGAGAAGUCUGGUCUAAGAAAUUUUAUUUUAUUUUUUGUUCAAAUUUCAAGACACGAGAAGGAGAAUCGGUCAGAGAAAGAUUGAUCCCAA
RNAcentral lists this long non-coding RNA (304 nucleotides) under Elaeis guineensis (African oil palm). Its description in RNAcentral is "long non-coding RNA (EGUI_LNC005195)". The record is from RNAcentral. Lineage: Eukaryota; Viridiplantae; Streptophyta; Magnoliopsida; Arecales; Arecaceae.